CUACCACUGUAUUAAUUAUCAAGGCAUUUUACUGUAUAGUUUUGGAGAAAACUAAAAGCAAAUUCACCCAAAACAUCAAAAUCCAUUGUUGCACUUACACUUUUUCCCAUUUUCCAAAAUUCAUAUAAAGUGUUCCUUUAUAGGUUAGCUCAUUCUUUCAAGUCAUAUGUAUUCAGAGUGUCCCCUACUAUCACUGUAUUAAUAUUCAAGGCAUUUUACUGUAUAGUUUUGGAGAAAACUAAAAGCAAAUUCCCGCAAAACAUCAAUCUCCAUUGUUGCACUUACACUUUUUCCCAUUUUCCAAAAUUCAUAUAAAGUGUUCCUUUAUAGGUUAGCUCAUUCUUUUAAUGUAUAUGUAUUCAGAGUGACCCAGACUACCACUGUAUUAAUUAUCAAGGCAUUUUACUGUAUAGUUUUGGAGAAAACUAAAAGCAAAUUCACCCAAAACAUCAAAAUCCAUUGUUGCACUUACACUUUUUCCCAUUUUCCAAAAUUCAUAAAAGGUGUUCCUAUAUAGGUUAGCUCAUUCUUUCAAGUCAUAUGUAUUCAGAGUGACCCAGACUACCACUGUAUUAAUUAUCAAGGCAUUUUACUGUAUAGUUUUGGAGAAAACUAAAAGCAAAUUCACCCAAAACAUCAAAAUCCAUUGUUG
Molecule: long non-coding RNA, 652 nt
Organism: Carassius gibelio (silver crucian carp)
Lineage: Eukaryota; Metazoa; Chordata; Actinopteri; Cypriniformes; Cyprinidae
Exons: 3
Source: RefSeq, a predicted model, not a curated record